UGUGUGUGUUCUGGUCGUGAUUUACACAGGAGCCAAGAAGGGUUCUUUUCAAAACCCUAAACUCACUAAAAUCCAUCAAAAUCUAAGGGAAAUCGAGUUGGAAAUUAGGGCUUUAACUAAAUUCAUGACCAACCAUGCUAGGAGAUCACAAGUUGACUCUAAACAAGCUAGGUGGGAGCUUGGAAAGGAACGGGUCAAACGGAUCAUGGAUGCGAAGAAUGUUUGCGCGAACGCGAGGUAAGUAAAGCUUACACCCAUUUGUAGUAAACGUAUGUAUUUUAUAGAUGAUAAAUGUGACAACCGAUUACAUUCGAAAUUGAAGUUCCAACACUAAGCGAUAUGAGUCGGAACGAAUAAAAAUGAUCAAAACCACGGUUAAUGGUAAAAUGGACAAAAGGGUAAUUUAGUCGUGAAUCGACUAAGAAUUUAUAAGAUUUCUUUAAGGUUACCUUAUAGCGAAAUUAGUAAUGGGAAAAAGGGUAAAUUAGUCACAUGUUGACUAUAUGUAAGUUGGGAUUAA
Molecule: long non-coding RNA, 520 nt
Filed under: Helianthus annuus (common sunflower)
Lineage: Eukaryota; Viridiplantae; Streptophyta; Magnoliopsida; Asterales; Asteraceae
Description: sRNA HanXRQr2_Chr06g0268101
Source: RNAcentral